AUAAUGAUACUUCCGUCCAGCCACAGUCCGAGCGUGAUAAAACCGUCGCAGGCAAUGGGGGUGGCCUGCCAGUAUGGGGGGAGGUGAAACUCCUAUGA
This is a regulatory RNA element of 98 nucleotides. It matches the Rfam family "pemK RNA". The record is from Rfam.